This 403-nucleotide ribosomal RNA is filed under the name uncultured bacterium. RNAcentral describes it as "bacterial SSU rRNA". It matches the Rfam family "Bacterial small subunit ribosomal RNA", at positions 356 to 773 of the family's 1533-position model. The record is from RNAcentral.
GGGGGAUAUUGCACAAUGGAGGAAACUCUGAUGCAGCAACGCCGCGUGAGGGAAGAAGGUCUUCGGAUUGUAAACCUUUGUCCUUGGUGACGAAACAAAUGACGGUAGCCAAGGAGGAAGCUCCGGCUAACUACGUGCCAGCAGCCGCGGUAAUACGUAGGGAGCAAGCGUUGUCCGGAUUUACUGGGUGUAAAGGGUGCGUAGGCGGCUUUGCAAGUCAGGUGUGAAAACUAUCGGCUUAACUGAUAGACUGCAUUUGAAACUGUGGAGCUUGAGUGAAGUAGAGGCAGACGGAAUUCCCGGUGUAGCGGUGAAAUGCGUAGAGAUCGGGAGGAACACCAGUGGCGAAGGCGGUCUGCUGGGCUUUAACUGACGCUGAGGCACGAAAGCAUGGGUAGCAAAC